GUUAAUCAACCUCUGGAUUACAAAAUUUGUGAAAGAUUGACUGGUAUUCUUAACUAUGUUGCUCCUUUUACGCUAUGUGGAUACGCUGCUUUAAUGCCUUUGUAUCAUGCUAUUGCUUCCCGUAUGGCUUUCAUUUUCUCCUCCUUGUAUAAAUCCUGGUUGCUGUCUCUUUAUGAGGAGUUGUGGCCCGUUGUCAGGCAACGUGGCGUGGUGUGCACUGUGUUUGCUGACGCAACCCCCACUGGUUGGGGCAUUGCCACCACCUGUCAGCUCCUUUCCGGGACUUUCGCUUUCCCCCUCCCUAUUGCCACGGCGGAACUCAUCGCCGCCUGCCUUGCCCGCUGCUGGACAGGGGCUCGGCUGUUGGGCACUGACAAUUCCGUGGUGUUGUCGGGGAAGCUGACGUCCUUUCCAUGGCUGCUCGCCUGUGUUGCCACCUGGAUUCUGCGCGGGACGUCCUUCUGCUACGUCCCUUCGGCCCUCAAUCCAGCGGACCUUCCUUCCCGCGGCCUGCUGCCGGCUCUGCGGCCUCUUCCGCGUCUUCGCCUUCGCCCUCAGACGAGUCGGAUCUCCCUUUGGGCCGCCUCCCCGCCUGUUU
Molecule: unclassified non-coding RNA, 598 nt
Filed under: Baculovirus expression vector pLM
Also listed under: 1 other name
Source: RNAcentral